RNAcentral lists this transfer RNA (88 nucleotides) under Bacteroidota bacterium. Its description in RNAcentral is "Bacteroidetes bacterium tRNA-Ser". It matches the Rfam family "tRNA". From Rfam's summary of the family: Transfer RNA (tRNA) molecules are approximately 80 nucleotides in length. Their secondary structure includes four short double-helical elements and three loops (D, anti-codon, and T loops). The record is from RNAcentral. Lineage: Bacteria; Pseudomonadati; Bacteroidota. RNAcentral also lists the same sequence under 5 other names.
GGAGAGGUGGGUGAGUGGCUGAAACCAACAGUUUGCUAAACUGUCGUAGCCCCUAAGGCUACCGGGGGUUCGAAUCCCCCCUUCUCCG